UACGAAGGGUGCAAGCGUUACUCGGAAUUACUGGGCGUAAAGCGUGCGUAGGUGGUUUGUUAAGUCUGUUGUGAAAGUCCAGGGCUCAACCCUGGGAUGCCGGUGGAUACUGUCGGGCUCGAGUCCGGAAGAGGCGAGUGGAAUUCCUGGUGUAGCGGUGAAAUGCGCAGAUAUCAGGAGGAACACCAAUGGCGAAGGCAGCACUCUGGGCCGGUACUGACGCUGAGGAGCGAAAGCAUGGGGAGCGAACAGG
RNAcentral lists this ribosomal RNA (253 nucleotides) under uncultured bacterium. RNAcentral's name for it is "partial 16S ribosomal RNA". It matches the Rfam family "Bacterial small subunit ribosomal RNA", at positions 524 to 776 of the family's 1533-position model. The record is from RNAcentral.